GCAGUCGAGCGGACAGAUGGGAGCUUGCUCCCUGAAGUCAGCGGCGGACGGGUGAGUAACACGUGGGCAACCUGCCUGUAAGACUGGGAUAACUUCGGGAAACCGGAGCUAAUACCGGAUAACACCGAGGACCUCAUGGUCCUUGGUUGAAAGAUGGCUUCGGCUAUCACUUACAGAUGGGCCCGCGGCGCAUUAGCUAGUUGGUGAGGUAACGGCUCACCAAGGCGACGAUGCGUAGCCGACCUGAGAGGGUGAUCGGCCACACUGGGACUGAGACACGGCCCAGACUCCUACGGGAGGCAGCAGUAGGGAAUCUUCCGCAAUGGACGAAAGUCUGACGGAGCAACGCCGCGUGAGCGAUGAAGGCCUUCGGGUCGUAAAGCUCUGUUGUUAGGGAAGAACAAGUACCGUUCGAAUAGGGCGGUACCUUGACGGUACCUAACCAGAAAGCCACGGCUAACUACGUGCCAGCAGCCGCGGUAAUACGUAGGUGGCAAGCGUUGUCCGGAAUUAUUGGGCGUAAAGCGCGCGCAGGCGGUUCCUUAAGUCUGAUGUGAAAGCCCACGGCUCAACCGUGGAGGGUCAUUGGAAACUGGGGAACUUGAGUGCAGAAGAGGAAAGCGGAAUUCCACGUGUAGCGGUGAAAUGCGUAGAGAUGUGGAGGAACACCAGUGGCGAAAG
Molecule: ribosomal RNA, 681 nt
Filed under: Bacillus cihuensis
Lineage: Bacteria; Bacillati; Bacillota; Bacilli; Caryophanales; Bacillaceae
Description: bacterial SSU rRNA
Rfam family: Bacterial small subunit ribosomal RNA
Source: RNAcentral